RNAcentral lists this ribosomal RNA (497 nucleotides) under uncultured bacterium. RNAcentral describes it as "partial 16S ribosomal RNA". It matches the Rfam family "Bacterial small subunit ribosomal RNA", at positions 28 to 507 of the family's 1533-position model. The record is from RNAcentral.
GACGAACGCUGGCGGCGUGCCUAAUACAUGCAAGUUGAGCGCUGAAGGUUGGUACUUGUACCAACUGGAUGAGCAGCGAACGGGUGAGUAACGCGUGGGGAAUCUGCCUUUGAGCGGGGGACAACAUUUGGAAACGAAUGCUAAUACCGCAUAAAAACUUUAAACACAAGUUUUAAGUUUGAAAGAUGCAAUUGCAUCACUCAAAGAUGAUCCCGCGUUGUAUUAGCUAGUUGGUGAGGUAAAGGCUCACCAAGGCGAUGAUACAUAGCCGACCUGAGAGGGUGAUCGGCCACAUUGGGACUGAGACACGGCCCAAACUCCUACGGGAGGCAGCAGUAGGGAAUCUUCGGCAAUGGACGAAAGUCUGACCGAGCAACGCCGCGUGAGUGAAGAAGGUUUUCGGAUCGUAAAACUCUGUUGGUAGAGAAGAAAGUUGGUGAGAGUGGAAAGCUCAUCAAGUGACGGUAACUACCCAGAAAGGGACGGCUAACUACGUG